UGAUACAAGUGUCGAAAGUAUAAAAAUUCGAUUAGGGCUUGCCUGAAAGCGAAUUUAUUAUCUUUUGACACGCCAAAAACAUGAGUAAGCAGCCAUUUUUGUUAAAAAUGAGCAAAUUACAAAUAUUUUUGUAAUUAUUAUAUUAAAUCAUUUGAAAAUGGUUGUCAAUAUCG
This 173-nucleotide small RNA is filed under the name Catonella morbi ATCC 51271. RNAcentral describes it as "Clostridiales-1 RNA". It matches the Rfam family "Clostridiales-1 RNA". The record is from Rfam by way of RNAcentral. Lineage: Bacteria; Bacillati; Bacillota; Clostridia; Lachnospirales; Lachnospiraceae.